GAUUAUGGCUCAGGAUGAACGCUGGCGGCGUGCUUAACACAUGCAAGUUGUGCGGUGAUCUCAAGAAGUUUCGGACGGAAAGGGAGAGCAGCAGCGGACGGGUGAGUAAAGCACAAGGACUUGUCCCGAAGAGGGGGACAACUGUGGGAAACCACAGCUAAUACCCCAUAAGCCGAGAGGUGAAAGCAGUAAUGCGCUUUAGGAGAGACUUGUGUCCUAUCAGGUAGUUGGUGAGGUAACGGCUCACCAAGCCGAAGACGGGUAGCCGGACUGAGAGGUUGUACGGCCACAUUGGAACUGAGAGACGGUCCAGACUCCUACGGGAGGCAGCAGUGGGGAAUAUUGGGCAAUGGGGGCAACCCUGACCCAGCGACGCCGCGUGAGGGAAGACAGCCUUCGGGUUGUAAACCUCUGUUGCAGGGGAAGAAGAAAGUGACGGUACCCUGCGAGGAAGCUCCGGCAAACUACGUGCCAGCCGCCGC
Molecule: ribosomal RNA, 482 nt
Filed under: uncultured bacterium
Lineage: Bacteria
Description: bacterial SSU rRNA
Rfam family: Bacterial small subunit ribosomal RNA
Source: RNAcentral